CUGAGGCGGCAGGGGCGGGGCCGCCGCGCGUGAUCCCGUGGGUGUGGCCGCGGUACGUGCGCUCCGUUGUCAUUGGCGCCGCACCCGGAAGAGUCACUGGCGCCUGCGCGGUGGGGCGGCCGCGCGAUCCUCUCCCAGCCCGCCGAGGAGAUGGAGGCGGCGGCGUGGCGGCGGCAGCGGGAGCAGGAACAGGAACAGGAACAGCAGGAGCGGGAGCAGGAGGAUGGUGGGCGGGUGCUGUCACGAUCCCUGUCGGGACAGUCUUACUGGCUGGACCUGUGGCUCUUCAUCCUCUUCGACCUGGCACUUUUCCUGCUUAUCUACCUGCUGCCCUGAGGGCGCGGCCCAGGGCCAUUCCCACCAAGGGAAUUCUCACCUAUUCCGCACCUUAUGAACACAGGCGGUGGAAGAGGAGGACCAUUUGUGCGCGAUAAACAACUGGGGACAAGACUCUAGUGGAGUCUCUAUGGAGGAGGCACAUUUUUAUACACUGUAUCUUAAGAGAUCUCUGUGUGUCACAAGUGUUACUGUUCAGGUUUUACCUGUAUCUUGUUUGUGUGUCCUAAACUGUGCCUUAAAGGUCACGUAAGACAGACUGACUGUGCUUUUGUGAUUAGUACCUAAAGGCUUCUUGUGCAGAAAUGGAAGUAUGCACUGUUUGAGUAAAAUCUACUGAAAGGACACCCUGCAGAGUGGCUGAGAAUAAAACCCAGCUCUUGUGUACACUGAAGUUAGAGCAUCAUCUGUUCCUUCAACAGAUGAAGCUUAGCCAGCUGUUUUACUUCCAAAAAGUUAAUUCUGAUGGGUUGAGGCUGGUUGGUUUUGUAUGAUGUCUUUCUUCUUUCUUUACCUUUGGCAGUUGCUGCGCCUGCUCAGGCUCAGUAUUUAUACAUAUAAAUACAUACAUGUAUAAACAUGCCCGUGUUUAACCCA
Long non-coding RNA from Corvus hawaiiensis (hawaiian crow), 933 nucleotides. RefSeq lists it as uncharacterized. Lineage: Eukaryota; Metazoa; Chordata; Aves; Passeriformes; Corvidae. The transcript is spliced from 2 exons. The record is from RefSeq and is a predicted model, not a curated record.